AUAUUAGAAUAUCAAAUUUACACUUCUUAAUAAAGAUUAACUCUAAAGAUACCGAAAACUAGAUUAACUUUGGAUUCUCAUUAGUAACUCCAAAAAAAUAGAGAAAAUAUUGCAGAUGGCUAACCUGUCUUAGUUGGUGGUCGGCCAGUUCUUCCACGGCGAGGGUAAGGGUACUCACUAGACCCUCCAAGAAUAGGACGGACGUAUUUGGCACCCUUAUCAGGUUUCCCCAAAUCAUUGUAGUAAGCAUAGUCAUAAACCCUUUCCCAUUCUUGGAGCUCUCCUUUUCCAUCUCCCCUCAAGUGUACUAGCUCUUCUUCUAUGUAUUUUCGCAAUGGCAAUGGUGUCUCGCUUGGAAGAUAAGUCUGCACAAACAUACAGCAGGCAUGAACUUUUAGUCUUUAGCUUAGGAUACCAUAUAUUUUCAACCUCACCAAAAAAAAAAAAAAUUACAGCAGAUACUAUGAAACGUGCAAAUCAUUCGUUACCUUGUUGACGAAGAAAACACGGUCUUUGGUGUAUUUUUCAGUAGGGUACACCCAAGAGUUGCAAACGAAGUGUACACGGCCCUCACCGGGAACAUUUUCGAGUGUGACGGUCUUGAGGAAGAACUCACUGUGGUGGUUGUUUUUUAUUAAGAAAGCUCCUGGAACUCCUACUUCCUCUUCAUAGUCAAAUGUAACCUUGAAUGCAGACUCUCCUGCUGUUAAAGGUGUGAUUGUGGUAAUCCAGUCUUCCAAAUAAGCUGGUUGUCCAAGCUUCCCCUUCAAUCCAUUUUCUACAAAAUUCAUAUAUCAAUUAGUCAAAAAUUAAUUUAUCAUUCAAGAAAAUAUACCAAGUUCAUAUGCUCGAGUUCUUUUUUCAUCUUUUACUUAUACUACUUUGAUUUACAGAGAAUGGAAUUUGAACUUGACCGCAAGGGGAUUAACACACUAUCAUGUACAACUGACCUACCUAACUCACAUAUUCUUGUGCUCAAAUUUUAUUAGGAACAACUCUGUAGUUGUUUUAUUAGAAUAUUCAAGGGAAAAGAAAAAAGGAAUUGGAUCUGGUAAAAAGUUAAAAACCAUAGUAACAAAAAGGGUUAAAAGCCAUGUCCAGUUGCACGGUGCUUCAUUUUCAGGUUAAACUGGUGGCUUAGACUGGUAGGUCUUUUUUUAUUUUUUUUUAUUUUUUAAUUUUUUUGUAAAAAAAGGACUAGUUGGUAGCCAAGUUAUGACAGUUCACCUUUUUAAGAGAUCGAAAAAAUUCAAAGAAGUAUUUUAGUUUCUCCCAUACACCAUCAUGUGAUUAACCAAGUUUAGACUGAUAGUUGGCUUUCAAAGGUAAGAUUAACGUGCAUGUCUAAUCAGUUAAUGACAUGGCCACUAUGAAAAAACAACAAAUGGAAUGACUAAUAACCAUGAUUUAAAAAACAUUAUCUUAUUUUUCACAAGCUUAAUUAUGUCACUUUUUGAACUAAACCAACACCAAUUUUCUAACCAACUAUUUCGAAUUCCUAUCAAGCAGUCAUGACAUAAUUACAACUAGACUAAUUAUUCCAAAUGGUAGAUACCCCAAAUAGGAAAAUGUCAGGGUCUUGAAAAUUUUGGAUCAUCUUUUAUCAAACAGAUAAUGUCGCGGUUAGUAGUUGAACUUAUUUUUUAAUGAUUUAAAGGAGUCCAACCAUUAACCAGCAUACAAAAGAUGAUCUCUUUAACAUCACUGACCAAUUAAUAUAGUUCCUUAUGUUGUGCACCAUUAAUAUUUUAAUUCUGAUUCUUAACAUACGAUCUUAUUUCAUGAUCCAAAUAUAUGACUUGGUCCCCGGUCCGGUCCAUGCCGGACCAUAGAGGGCUAAACAGUGUAACGCAAUGAAAAGUAAAAUAGAAUAAAAGCCUCAGGAAUGGAAGCAAACACUGUUAUCUUUUUACUCAGAUUUUAGACCACAAAAGUUAAAAAGGAAAAAAAUAGACCGACUUAUUGUGAUCGAGGUCGUUUCUUUGAAGAUAUGUCAUAAAGCUGUUUCCAUUCUCAGCCGUAUAAAAGGGACGGAAUUAAAAAAAAAAAAAAAAAAAAAAAAAAAAAAAACAAGAAAAAGCAACCCCAAACCAGUUCUUCACUUUGCGAGGAUCGAAGAAACUCUCUCAAAGCAAAUGAAAACCGUUGAUAUCAGAAUUUCAUCUCAUUUUCAAUCUCAAUGAUAUAUUUUUGACACAUAAAGUUGAUCGCGACACAUUGCCUAUCAAAUGUAAGUUUUAUCAUUAGAUGUUGCCUAAUUGGAUUAGAGAGUAAGCAAUUUAAUCAAUUUUGCGUAUUUAAACAAAUUAAAUAGCAUUUACUCCAUCAAUUAUUGGGAAAAAAAGAAGAAGAAAAGUUCAUGUCAGAAUUAAUAACGCAACCAAUCCACCAAAGAAAGAGGGAGAGUGAGUAAACAAUCUUAAUCUUAUCGUAAAUAAUGCAUCAAAGAAAAAGAACCAGAAGAAAAAUGAAACGAUGAUCGAGAGCAAAGACUAAAAUCUUAAAUCAAUCUAAAACAAACCUCAAAUGAUCUCUAGGAUUGAUGAAAACUCUAUCAAUUAUUCGAUUUUCUCCCUAACCAUGCACAGAAACUGUAUAAUCCUGCAAUGAAAAGAUAAACUCACCGGAAUCAUCAGCAUGAACGGCACUGAUGAGCUGCAGAGAAACCCUUUGGCCGACCAACUCAUGCACGCGAUCGAGAACAGAAGCGUUGAAGUCGUUGAAGUCCAAAACAUUCUUCUUCAUCAGCACCACAGUCCCAUUGAUCUUUCCAUGAUUCUCAUUUUGCUGGUGGCCUGUGAGCUUCUCAACGAUAUUCUGCAGCAUUUUGUUCUUCUGCUUUGCUUUACACGAAUUAAGCAAAGAACAUAUGCUAUUGUGAUCUACAAAUCCAAAAGAAUAUAUAUGUUUUGUGUUUUAUGAAAAAAGGUGGGUGGUGAGGUGAAUCGAAAGUUGAAAGCUGGUAUGGUCGAGUGCAGCAGGGCGUUGUGGUAUUUAUAGGGAACAAAGAAAAGUGGAGCAGUACGUUCGUUCUAUCACUUUAUUUUUUUUAAUUCGUGCCAAGUCAUCGGUAUUUUCUUGGAACAAGUCUACACCACUUACCAAAAUUGCGAUUUGGCUAGUCAAAAUAACAAGGCCAAAAAGGUUUAGGUUUCUAAUUGAUGUUUUGGGAAAGAUAAAAGGAACGUGCACAGAUUAUUUUUCAUAAGAAUUGAGAAAUAGGUUUUUUUUUCUUCAUAAUCCGAACAAAUUUAAGAUUAGGAGAUAAGCUAGUUUUCCCUACUCUAAAAGGAUUUAGGAAUCUUAUACUAUACUUGUAAGACAUGUAACUAUCGAUCUAUGUAUUUAAAGAGGUUUGUUGGAGGUUGAUUAUUCACACGAACAAUGUAGAGAAUACAAGGGUAAGGGUAGAAAGCCAAGAGUGAUAGAGAGUUCUAAAGCAAGGUUUUGGGGUUUAGCAUAAGGGUUUCUAAUAAGUUCUUGUAACCGAGUUUUUAUUCUCCGUAGUGCAGGUGAGUACUCAAGAGGAAUCACACAAUAAGUAGGUAAAGUUCGUUAAACCUCGCUAAAUUUUUUGUGUUUAUGUGUGACGUGUAUACUUUAUUCACAUAGUAUCACCUCAUAGGUUUGCUUAACAUCGAAGACUAUCAAUAAACAAAAUCAACUAAGGGAAAUUAAAAUCAACUAAAAUUACUUGUAGGAAUGGCUAAGUGAUGGAGACUAAAAAGAAGCAGUGUAAAUUUGACCUAUACUCGUUUUUCAAGACUAGAAAAAAUAACAUCCCAUCAGAAAUUUAACAAAAAUAUUACAAGUGGCCCAUACAUUGUACUUGGUACACACACAUAAAAUAUGCAACACAUUAGUAAAAUUGUGAAUUUAAUAAAUUUAUUAUUUCAUUGUUACACCCCUCGUGUUGUUAUUAAAAACAUAUUUCAAGAUGAAUGACAACAUAAUUAAUAGUUCUUAAUGUUAAACUUGAAUUUCAAUCAUAUCGAAUCGGAAUCAUUGGGUUCCAAAUUCUAAUCCAAUAUUUUUAAUUUUUUUUUUCGCCGGUAAGAUACAUUCCGAUUCUGCUUCUAAUCUUUUCGGAAUUUUGGAUGUCAUCAUAUUUGAUUUCGGUUUUCCAAAAUCAAAUACCAUUGGAUCAGAAUUGGAAUUUCAACCCAACUUUGUAGCCUUAAUUAUUUUAAAGAUGAUAAACUAGAUACACGUUCAUGGACUUAAGUAAGUGACCGUCGUUCCUAAAUGAUUUGGCCAAAUUUGGUUGCAUCGUUGACAAUUUCGGAAGCCUAAAACGAAAGUUGAAUACGCGUUUAUACCCUUAUUUUCUUUUGUUUUUUUACCCGAAAGACAACUUGGAACCGCAGCUUUGGCUUUAUCAGAACUGGGAAACAAUUCCAUAAGAGCCGUUGGAUCUCCAAUUUCAGCCUCUUGGUUAAGCUGCCUCAAUGGACUUAUUCUCUGCAAUAAUAUUACACCUUUCUUUAAAAUAUUACACAAAAUAUUAUUCCUUAUGUUUCCUCGCUUUUUCACACGGGUCUCUUCAAUUGGGAAUUUCUUUCAUUUGGUUCAAGAUUACAUUUUCAAAAAAUUUUGUUUUUGGGUUUGUGGGUAAUAGUUUAAUGAGAGUUUUAACAAAAUAUUUUCGGUAUUGCUCACUUUUAACGAAAAUGAUAUUUUUAUUCUAAAAAGUCAUUUCUGGUACUAUUCAGUUACAACACAUUUUUGUCAUUUUGAUUAAAAUUCAAAGUUUUAAAACAAUUUUCAUUAGUUUUCCUUAGUUUAAUCAGUUGAAAAGAAUACAUACACGACUAGUAAUUUUUAAGGUUUUGAUCAUGAAUGUUCUUUGAAAUUGACCAUUACCAUUAAAAUGGUCAUUGAAAUUGAAAAUCAAAUCCCUGAAAAUAGGUGUCGCAAAUCAAUGUGGUCAUUUCGUCACAAUUCUGUUAAGUGUUGAUGUGGCACAUAAAUGGACCCCACAAGAUUUGCGGGUUUUUAUCACAAAUGGUCAUUGAAAUUGACUCACACCAUCAUGAUGGUCCUUGAAAUUGACCCACAUCAUCAAGUUGGUCCCUAAAAUUGAAAAUCGAUAAAUGUAGUCCUUGAAAAUAGGUGUUGCAAAUAAAUAUAAACCUUUCGCCACAAUUCUGUAAAAAUUUUGUUAUGUGCUGAUGUAGGUAUAAUAAUUAAUUAAAAAAGUUGUCUAAAUACCUUAUUGCACAAUAGAAUUUUUUUCUUAUAGUAGGACCUACUCCGAAGAGAGAUCCCUUCCAUAAAUUCUCAAGGGCACAAGGCUUAACCAAGACCUAAGAGGGAGUUUGGAAAUAGUUUUCAACUAACCAUAGACGCACCUCGGUUAUAACCUCAUUAUCUCAAGGCAGACCUCGCCGUUCUUUGAAUCACUAGACCACCAGAAAGCGUCGAACAAGAUUAAAGUUGUGAGGAUGUUGAUUGCCUAAAUGUUAACGAUGAUGUCCCAGAAGCUAUUGCCAAUCAGCCAAGCCGUCACCAAAGGUGAUGUCGAUCUAGGUUCAAUACGGUGAAGGGUGUUGAAGUGUGUAAAGUUGGAUGCAAUGAGAUUUUUUUAGAGAAUAGAUAGCGAAGGAGGUAGAGGAAUGUGGACUAAGAUUGGAGGUGAUUAUAUACUGGGUUUUUGGGUUCAUAAUUUUUUAUUAACAAUUAAAUUAUUAAACCUAUUUGUAAUUUUUUAAAUUUAAUUGGGCUUGUGUGAUCCAUUUAUGUAUCACAUCAGCACAUAACAUAAUUUUGACAGAAUUGUGAUGGAAUGACUACAUUGAUUUGAGACGCUUAUUAUGGAAGGACCAUUUUGAUGGAACAUGUCAAUUUCAAGGACCAUUUGUGAGAAAAUAGGACUUAUGAGACCCAUUUAUGUGCCAUAUCAGCACUUAACGGAAUUUUAACAGAAUUGUUACGGAAUGACUACAUUGAUUUGAGACACUUAUUUGCAAGACUACAUUGAUCGAUUUUCAAUUUCAUGGACCAUUUUGAUGCUACAUGUCAAUUUUAGGGACCAUUUUGAUGUUGCAGGUCAAUUUUAAGGACCAUUUGUGAGAAAAUAGGACUUAUGAGACCCAUUUAUGUGCCACAUCAACACUUAACGAAAUUUUAACAAAAUUGGUAUGGAAGGACCAUAUUGAUUUGCGACACCUAUUUUUAGGGACUACAUUGACUGAUUUUCAAUUUUAGGGAUCAUCUUGAUGGUGAGAGUCAAUUUCAAGAAUUAGUUCUGAUAAAAACCCAAUUUUUAAUUGCAUGAAACACGUAUUGAUUACUAAUUUAAUCAUAUUAUACAUGCAUAAUGGUGCAUAAGUACAAAUGUUCCAAGUACUCAAUCCUUGGUAUAAUGUGUAUGACAUGCUUGAUUUUGAUGUAAUCUUUAUGUCAAACAUGUCCCGCGCUUACGGUCUAAAUUAAUCAUGAGAUGACUGAGAACUAAGCAUAUUUUCAUUUAAAAUGUGACAUUUAGUUUAGAUAUAAAGCACACUGCUACUAAUUCAAUUUUUUCUUAUGAAUAAUAAUGCUUCGCGAACCAAAUUUUAUCAUCAGGUGUACAUAAUGGUGUGUUUAUCUCUAUAUAUCAUUUGUUGAAACCUAGACUCACACUAUAAGGUUAGAAUACGGAGACACGCAUUUUUGAUACACGUUUUUGUAGAGUCUAAUUCGUUAUGUAUUUCAACGAUUCAAUUAUCUAUAUUUUAUGUCUUACCUCAACGAUCAUGUCUACAAAAAAUCAUCCAAAUCCGAAACAAUAUGCCCGUUGAUAAAUUUAGUGUUUUUUGUAUAACAGUAUUCAUCCAUUUUCUUCAUUACAAAUGAAUGUCUUAAUAGAUUUGGAAUUAUUUAAUUUUUUUUUUACAGAUGAUCUAUGAAUGAUGUACUAAAAUAUAGAUGGUUUGGAUUGUUAAAAAACAUUACGAAGUGAGCCGGCUCUACAAAAUAAAUGUCAACAUGUGUGUCAAAAAUGUGUAACCCUGAAUUCUAACUCAUAUAUGUAUAUAAUCUUUAACAGUCGGUGCGUCUAAUACUAUUAAACUUUGCCUAGAAAAAUUGAAAAAAAUAGUGUGAUCUUAUCUUCGAAACUGGCAUGAACCAUAGGGCUUUUCUAAUCAACUGCCAUUACGUAAUAUUCCACCGCAUUUUCGUCUCGUGGUAUUUGGAUUCAGUCUAGUAAUUAUUUCACACGAUAAUUGAUCUUAAACUGAAUGGAUUAGGUAUAACAUGCCGUGGUUUAUCUUAAUUGAUCAAAUAUAUACAAUUACCAACUGUGAAAGCAACAAGUGAAUUGGUUUUUGUCUAUGCUACGCGCUAUAUUUAUGGGAAUACAGAAAAAAUCAAACCACUUCAACUUCACGUGUGGUUUUGAAAUUUGAAGAAACCCUAAUCAAGGAAAGGAAAUUUCCCUGCAUGGCAGAGUUCGAAACAAGAAAGUAGAGAAACAGGAAACCUAGAAAUUUGGUUCAGUACCCAAAACAAGAAGACGUGCAUGCAUGGGGUUACAAUUUGAAUUUACUUCAAAGUCAAACUUUCAUUAGGGCCAUUAACUUUGUAUCAUUCCUCUCACGUUUUAGUAUUUCGCUUUGAACAAAUUGUAGAUAACCUAACGGUUAAUUCAUGCCUAACUAUAGUACCAAUAAUUAAUUUGGGAUCUCUUAUGUUAAUUGGUAUAUAUCAGAAUUUGAAAGUUAUAUGUUGGUUAAUUUUGUAUGGAACUAAAAAUGUUGCAUGCAUGUAUCAGAUUAAUAAUGCAGCGUGCUUGCCUCUUGAACCCAAAUUUAUCACUUUCUCGUAAAGUAAAGUAGUUUAGAAUAUCGUCUUGUGAUAUGUAUCAUAAGAUUAGUUUUAGUGUUUAUAAAUCAAGUAGCUAGCUUGUCCCAAAUGCUUGUAGAACGAAAAAGUUGGAUAGACAUGCUCAAAUUAUGAAGAGAAUAACCAACACUAGAAUUUGAUACCAUGUUGAUAAGUAAUCAACAAAUAAUUACACUCGGCCCUUUAAAUCUUAAAUUAUUGGAGGUAGAGAACAACUUUGACACUAAGGAUUCAUAUAUGUUGUAUUUUAUUUAUUUAUUUAUUUAUUUUAUUUAUAAUUAUUAACAAAAGGUGGAGUUUCAAACUCAAAGUGCAUGAGUUAAAACCCAACACCCAAUUCAUUAGGAUAUUGGACCUCAUGCAAAUUUUCAUAUUAUGUGAAUUUUUGGGAUCGGGUUAUCAACAAGGGGGUGUUGUGUGUGUAGAUUAUACAUCAAUUGAGGAUACCAGCCUCCAAACCCACAACCUUGCACACUUAACCACAGUGGUAGGAACAAGGACCAGAUUAAAAUAAAUGACGAUCAGAAGUAAGCUAAUGAAGCAAAGACUGAUGAGAGAAGAAGAAAGAAAAUUCAUAUAUUUGUUGCGCUUAAUUAUAUACACGCCCGACGACUACAUACAAAUAAUUGUGGGGGCACAUAUGUCGUCUGACGUGUAUAUAUUCAAGCUUCGAAUGGUUGCAAUUGUAGUAUGCCUUUCAAUUUACAUUGUUAUUACUCUCUUAAAUGGUAUCGGAAGAAUCACGAACACUAGAUAACUUAGAUUAGUGUUGUGAAUUUGUUGUGAAUUGUAAAUUACCAGUAAAAGGUUAUCAAAUUAUACAGGUGUGACAAAGUCUAUAGCCCAUGCUAGUCAUUAACUUGAUCUAAAAUUCGAAAUGGAACAAGAGAGGCUGCGGAGUUGUUGGCUUCACUUUUUUAUUUUUUAAAUUUUUUUAUAAAGAUGAUGAUGAUGAAGUAAUCACCGCGAUAAAGAAACUCCAAUUAAUUAAAAUAUGAUGGUGGUGAAGUAAUCACUGUGAAAUUUCGUAACUGAAAAUGAUAUUUAACGAAUCAAGUGGUCCGAAAAAGAAAGGGAUUCUUUCCGGAUCUCUUUCAUCAAAUCCAUCCCAUUAAUUAGUUCGGGUUCUUGAAAUUUGAUCCAAUGACUAAAAUUAUUAUAACUUUUAAAAUGAUCUCUUGUUUUUAACAUUUGAAUCAAAUUUCAAGGGUUUGGAUUGAUUGAUAAGGUAGAUUUGAUAGAAAAGAUUCAUUUCCGUCGGAAAUGAGCUUAAAGGUCGAUAGAGAAUGGUAGAUUGACUUGACUGAUAAGAUCAUGUGACCAGUAGUUGUAUCAUUGAAUUGAAUUGACAAUUUGAUAUUCCAAAAAAUAAAAAGAGAAAAAUAAUUGAAUUGAUUUGGUGUUGUCAUACAUACGUAUGGACCAGGUCUAAGACAUGGGUAGACAUGGGUAGAAAUAGACAAUGAGAUACUUGUCCUUCUCAUUCACUUUUGACUUCGACAAUCAUAUGCCAUGAUAGCAUAUGGGGCACAUAUAACUCGAUACAAAAUAGGAUAAAAUAUUCUUUAGUCAAAAAUAGGGUCCGACUCCUGUUUCAACCCGUAUAUUUGUUUUCUUAUAAUUAUUAGAUUUUUAUUUUCAAUUUUAAUCAUUCAUAUUUCGCAUUACUCAAUGUUAUAUACAAUUGAAUAAAAAUUAUAAAAAAUAAACAUAAACACAAUUUUUAUAUUGUUAUUUAUACAGCACAGUUUGGUUUGUGCAUACCAAAUCGUACAAGCAAAAUCGUUAAUUAACCAAAGUUUGCAAGUCGGAAACGUUGUUGAAAAAUUAAGGUUUGCCUACUCUUAUGAGGAGGACUUGCAAUGAUAAGUCGUUUGACAUGUCAGAUCGUCAUGGCUUGUAGUGAUCCUCAUUUAUUCUAUUCAAUGAGUAUGUCUAGCAAUUAUUUUAUUUCUUUUUAGGUGAACAUUUGUCCGGUAAAUGGAACUUUCAAUGAAACAAGAUAAAAGAGUCAUCAAUAGCAUGUCUUUACAGCAGCCUGCUAAAAUCUUUUCAAAGAAAAUUACGUGGAACAAAACUUUAAAGUAAAAUCAAAGGCAAUUAACAUGAGACUUUAGGACGAUCAUCUCGAAACGAAAGGUCCCGAUCCGGGAGACUAAAAUGCACAACUAAUUCUGGGAACAACUCCAUCCACACUUUGAGUUUUUAGUACUCUCUUAUUCAAAACUAGAUGCAACAACACGAGAACAAUGAAGUUAAACAAAUAGAGCAAACAACAUGAAAAACAACAAAAAAACAUUAUCUCAUUAAUGAAGUCGGCUGUAUUAAUACUUAAACAACAUUGUACGUGAUUUUGCGUCAUGUUUUCAAGUUAAACAAAUAGUGAACACCAUUAUUUUUUUUUACCACGCCACACCUACAACGGAAUGGCCUUUGAUUUUACUGCAACCCUUGAGAUCUGCAACAGCAAUUCCCUACAUGGAUGUUGAAAGUCUAGGGAUCUGGUAAUUAUACGACAAUCAAUUCUACUGGAUUGAGUAAUUACAAUUUGUAUGCUAAUCCUUUUCGUCAGAACGUUUUCUUGGUAGGGAAUAGUUUCAACAAUAAAGAAUUAGACGAUAUUACGGAAGAGGAUGUAGAAUGCAUUAGAAACCCUAGAGGAGGACGGCUAAGGAGACAUGGUGGUCUUGGGGCUAGAGAGUGUUGAAAUCUAUUUGUCCCACAUCGGAUAGAGGGAAGGAGAAAGAGGCAUUUAAAUAGAAUUACUCCACUCUAACUAACAUGGAGGACUUUUGUGAUAAAAUCUCACACCUGACGGAUUGGGUAGGUGGUAAAGUGGGGACAAUAUCGGUGUUGUUGGAGUGGGCUCUCGGCCCGUCGACCUGAAAAAUUCUACAUGGUUUCAGAGUAGGAAUAACCUGUCUCCAUGUCUCUGUGAUACUUGUUGCUCUGUUCUUCAAGUCUGUGUCUCUGUGAUACUUGUUGCUUUGUUCUUCAAGCAUUCACCCUAGCCUCGGAGUCUGUGUCUCUGUGAUACUUGUUGCUUUGUUCUUCAAGCAUUCACCCUAUCCUCGAGUCCGAGGCUGAUAGCUCACUUGGAGCUGGUCACCAAAAUCAACCGGAGAUCGAUGUAAAUCUAAAUCAAAGUUUGAGUUCUGUGCUUCUAAAUGAGUUCAACUACUUACCAUGGUCAAGGGUAGUUUCACUUGCCUUAGGAGGAAGAUCAAAGCUAGGGAGCAUUCACCCUUGAUCUUCCUCCUAUCCUCGAGUCCGAGGCUGAUAGCUCACUUGGAGCUGGUCACCAAAAUCAACCAGAGAUCGAUGUAAAUCUAAAUCAAAGGUUGAGUUAUGUGCUUCUAAAUGAGUUCAACUACUUACCAUGGUCAAGGGUAGUUUCACUUGCCUUAGGAGGAAGAUCAAAGCUAGGGUUCAUAAAUGGAAGUAUUAAAGCUCCUGAUGCUUCCUCUCCCACUUAUGAAUCUUGGCUCAACAAAGAUCAGUUGGUCAUGUCUUGGCUCCUUAACUCCAUGGAGCGGAAGAUAGUUGAGAUAUUCAGCUACUCUUAGUCAUCUUUCUAGCUAUGAAAGUUCGUGCAAGAGAUGUGUGGAAAUCAGAAUAAUGCAGCCAGUGUGUUUCAGCUUAAACGUUUUGUUUAGCUUCUUGGAAGUCUGAAAGGUAUGUGGAACGAGUUGGAGAUAUAUCGUCCACAUAUAACUGACUAAAACCCACUUCUUAAAAGGGAUGAAUAAGACAAAAUCUUCCAGCUUCUCUCUAGUAUGGGUUGUGAAUAUGAGGAUCUAUGUAGCCACAUUCUCAUGAAUCUAGAGCUUCCUACCUUUGCAAAUGUUUGUGCAACAAUUCAAAGGGAAGAUGUGAGGAAAAAGGUUAUGAGCGCUAGUACCAUGACGACUGCCUUGGAAGUUAGGGCUUACUUUUCCAGUGAUAAGAAGUACAAAGGAAGAAUAUUCAUCUCAAAUGCAAACAUUGUGAUUCCACUAGACACGUGAUGGAUUAUUGCUGGAUUCUUCACCCUGAGCUCAAACCAGACUUCAUGAAAAAUGAAAGGUUUAUUCAGAAGAAGCCCCAGUUCCCCAGUUACAAAGUUAAUCAUGCCUUAUCCUUGUCAACUAAAGGCUCAUAGGAUCUUUUGAAAUUUACCUCUAAUCCCACCACACUUAUAAAUGAGUUUGCUGCGUACCUUCAAAUGAAAAAGGAAGUCCGUGGGAGUGAUGAAGCUGUUACCUCUGGAAAUGGCAACUCAACUGCUUUGCUGGGAAAGUUUGCAGGUUUUCUGGCUGACUCGAAAAAGCUCACUCAGGACAACAUGCAAGGUAUAUUGACAGCUUUCAAAACUGCUCUAAAUAUAAAUCAACUGCAUGAUUUGUGGGUCAUAGAUUUCGGUGCCACAUACCACAUGACAAAUCAAUUUUACAAGUUGCAUGAUUUAAAAAAAUUUCCUACACCUUCACAUGUUUCAGUUGUUAAUGAGGAGGGAGCUAAAAUGUUAGGAAUGAGAAAAAUACAUCUAGUGUUUGAUAAUAUAGGGUGCGUUUGUUGCGCCGGACUGUCUCGGACUGGACUAGCUGUCGGGACUAAGCUGGACUGGCUUAGAUUGGACUAAGCUGGACUAACUUAGUGAAGCGUUUGGUGCAGUCUCGGACUAAGAAGCAGGAUAAGAAAAACAGUACUGUUCACCAGAUUUGUGUUUGCUUAGACUAGGACUACAAAUUUUUGCCAUUGUGUAAUAGAGUAAUGCUACAAAUCUCAUGAUAUGGGUUAAUUGGAGCAUAUUUUUGCCAUGUAUAUUAUGAAUCUUAAAAAAAAUUGACAAUUGUUUUGUUUCUAUUACCUGCUAAUAGAAUUGGGUUUAAUUUGCAAAUGUAGCUUGAUUUAAACUCUAUCACCCAACAGAAGAAAUAUUUUGCCUUAACUGAAUUGCUAGCUCUCAGUGGGUUUGAGUGGAAUGAAGAGAAAAUGAUGUUGGCUUGUGAGAAAAGUGCGUAUGACGAGGCUACGAAGGUUUGCGUAUAUCUGAUUGUAUUUUUUGUUUUAUCUGAUUGUGUUUUGUUUUUAGAAUCUCAGUUCCUUGAUUAAUUACACUGAGUUCAAAAUCUCAGAGUUAAUAUCAUCAUCUUCUUAAUUACGAAUCAGGAUAAUGCACUAACAACAUACAUAGAAAAAGAAAAACCUCCAUGGGAGGUAAUUCCAAGUUCUUUACCGACACCAUCACCAUACACUCAGAAACCACUUGAAGCUAGAUAUUAGAAGGAUUACAGUGCACAUAAACAAAAACUGAGACUUGUAUGAAAGACAUAGCUUUUUAAAUACCAGCUCUUUCAUACUGUAAAGAAAAAAGAGUUAUGACAAACUUAUAGAUGAUCUGUUGAUCUGCCAGCUUGUGUGGCAACAUAAAAGAGUAUAUAUAUAUAUAUAUAUAUAUGUAUAUCUUUUCGGAAAGGUUCACCCAUCAUCCCUCUGAAAAAAGGAAAAACUUAACAUUGUUUUUUUGUUUUCCAUAGCUAGCACACGUCAAAACAUCCUGCCCUGUCCAUUAUUAAUUGUUCUGCCUCUUGUCCUUUCUUCAAAGAUCGAUUUUUCACUUCUUCCUCUUUACGCUGCCCUCUUCAUCCUGUAAUAGACCAAGAAUUAAUAUAUUGUAUUACACGCCUUGUGUUUUGUGUUUUUUUUUUUGUAGGGUAAAAAGGAUGCAAGUGGAUUGUACGAUAAGCCUUUUCCGCACUACCACAGUUUGGGAGAGAUUUAUGCAAAAGAUCGUGCUAUGGGUGCAAAUGCUGGUAACGCUGAUGACGAUGAAGAAGAAGUUAGACUUGAAGAUGCCAAUGUCAAUCAACAUGAAGGUGAGGAUGAAAGUGGAAAUGACUUUGAUACUUCUUUCUCAGUACCAAAUACCCAACAACAAAGGAAUGCAGAAAGUAACACAUCAAACAUUAGUCGCAAAAGGACAAGAGUAGCGGAUGAAAUGGCCAAGCAAUUCUCUAUUAUGGCUAAAGCUAUAGCCGAUGUGGGACCUAAGAUUGAUGGUCUAGUUCAUGCACUGUCAACCGAUAUAAAUCUGACCGAAAUGCAAACAAAAACUUGACAGUGAGUUGACCAAAAUGGAGUUUUUGUCUCCCAUGGAUUUAUUUAAAGUCACUAACUUCUUGGCCAAAGAACAUGACCUUUUUGAGGGUGUUUUUCAACAUGUCUGAUGAAAGGAAGAGUGCAUAUGUGACUACUUUGUUGCAGACUUGGAUGCAUAACGACAUCUAAGUGAUGGUCCAAAUAAUGUGAAUGCUAGUUUUUUGCUAUGACGUGCUUACUGCCAUAAUGACAUAUCAGGGAAAAUUGUGAAUGUUUUGUAAAUCUAAUGACUUAUUAGAUGACACCAUAAUGGUGAAGAACUACUUUUUGUUGGUAUUAUGAUGUUUAGGCAGGUUAAGAAUAUUUUGUUGACAAUCUGAUGUGUAGGCAGGUUAUGAAUAUUUGAUAAUAUGAUGCAUACGCAGGGUAUGACAAGUUUGCUUAGGUUGGUUAUGGUGGUUAGAUAGAUGUACUUUAAUGUAAAAUAUUAACUUUAAUGAAGUUAUUUCCUACUCUUUGUUUGUUACUAAUAUUUUUUUCUUCAUUUAUUUACUAUUAUACAAAAUCCACCUCUUGAAGAUCACUUUAGUUCAAGGGGAAUCAAGUUUUUUGAUUUGAAAUGGUAAAACAAAAUUUCUUCUACUCCUUGACAUUAUGUAGCAAAAUAUAUUCUUGAAGAGUUAAGACUGAAAAUGCUCCUAACAAUUUCUUUCCAUGUCCUUCUUGCUCAUUAAGCAUAAUUCUAUGCUCAUUCACAUUAUGCACAACCAGUGGCGGAGCCAGGAAUCUUACCACAAGGGGUCGUAGUGUAAAAGUCCAGAAAAAAAAUUUAGGAUGGAAAUGUUAAAGUUAAUGCUUUACUUAAACUGAUUAUGUGUAAAAGGGCUGACUGUUGCCUUUAUUAGUCGACCCAUUCUAUUUAUUAGUCGACCCAUUCUAUUUAUCAGUCGACCCAAUUACUUCAGUCGGCUUAUGUAUUGAACUAGGGCUGACUGUUGCCUUUAUCAGUCGACCCAUUCUAUUUAUCAGUCGACCCAAUUACUUCAGUCGGCUUAUGUAUUGAACUAAUUCUGUGUAAAAGGGCUGACUGUUGCCUUUAUCAGUCGACCCAUUCUAUUUAUCAGUCGACCCAUUCUAUUUAUCAGUCGACCCAUUUUAUUUAUCAGUCGACCUAGAGUAAAUUCAAUCGAUCUAAAGUAACUCCUAAAUACAUGUAGAAUCAGUUUGUUACUCAAUGCAUAAUCAGUUUGUUACUUCAUGCAAAAUCAGUUUGUUACUCAAUGCAGAAUCAAUUUGUUACUUCAUGCAGAAUCAGUUUGUUACUCAAUGCAAAAUCAGUUUGUUACUAUUAUAUACUAUAUCAAAAAAUAUUAAAAAAAAGUAUAUAAAAUAUUUGAUUUGGGACAAGGGCAUUUUAGUAAUCAUACUGGUUUAUAUUCCGAUUCUGCUGAAUUAGUAAACAGCUUUAUGGAAUUGUAUUCCGAUUCCAGACAAUUUUAGUAAACAAUUUCAACAAGAAUCUGAUUCUGAUUCCACCUCAUUUCAAUUCCUCCUCAAUCAAAUUCCUCCUCAAUCUGAUUCCUCUCAAUUUGAUUACGGAUUAGUAAACGCGCCAUAAUAGUGGCCAAUACAUGCAACUUCAACAAAUACAAGUACAUAAGAUCUCCAUAAUUUAGAAAAUCCUAGUUAACAUUAGUUAACAUUAGCCAAAAUAGAUCUCUAUAAUUUACAAAAUGGCUAGUUAACAUAAGCCAAAAUACUAGUGCAAAGCUAAGUUAUAAGUCAUAACAUAAGAUUGUAUGAUUAAUAAAAUACAUCCAUGUUAACGUUAAUAAAAUACAUCCAUGUUAACAUUAGCCAAAAUCCUCAUCCGCUUGCGUUGUCGCUUAAAAGCCUUUGGACGAACACUUUCUUGAGUUCCGGUUUGAUUGCCCUGAACACUCCCACAUUUUUUGGUUUAUCCAAAAUAAGAGACAAUGCAUCAAUUUGAUCCAUAAGAGAGAGACCCAUUGCUUCAAGUUCAUUAGCUAUGUCAGUAUGAUCUGCAGUACCUUGAACUAAAGCUUCAGUUACCAUUUGCAUCCUCUUCCCACUUUCAACAUAAAAAUCUUUCAGUCCACUGAUAAUUGCCUCGGUUCCAUCACUUGAACUUCCCACAGCUCUUUUCCUCUUUCUUUGGCUAUUUUCAGAUGGGGUGCUUUGUUGGCUUUGUUGGUUCAUUGAAGAAACAAAAUUUUCACCUCCAAUAUCACUUUCACCAACAUGAUCAUGACUUUGUUCCUCCACCAUUUGAGCAGGGGUUUCGACUACAUUACCCGUAGCCCGAUCUUUUCCAAAUAUAUAUGCAAAUCUAUCAAACAGUGGAAAAGGUUUGCUUCUCCAUCCAUCGGCUUCUUUAUUUCUCUAAGAUUAUAUCAACAUAGCAAAACUAAAAUUUAGCAUGCGUAACAAAUAUAGGAGCAAGAAUAUAACUAAUGCAUAAAUAAAAUAGGAUAUGAACCUGCACAUAAGUUUGCCAUGCGUCAUCACUGUCAACUUCAACGCACUUUUUGACAUCAUUCCAUGCAAAUCCACUUGUGUUUAUCAUGUCAACGACCAUACUAUAUGUUUUUUUCCAUUUUCUUCAACUUGGACUCAAUAUGUGGAUUUGCCUUUAUAUUUGAAUGAGGACAUAAAACAUUGACAGCUUUUUGCUAUUUCAACCAAAGUACCUUGUUUGAAAGCACCGGUGUCACACCGUUGCUUCCGAGCAACAAAAUCCUCAAGAACUCCUAGUAAUACUUCUUCCUCAAAUGCUUCCCAUUUACGCCUUCUUCCUUUUGGCUCUUGAGUAGCAUUCAAAAUAUUAUCGUUAUCCAUACCUAAACAAAAAAAUAUUUUAAUGAAGGAAAAUACCAUACAAAUAAUCAAUUUGCAUAAUAUCCAAUCAACUUGCAUAAUAUCCAAUCAACUUGCAUAAUAUCCAAUUAAUUUGCAUACCAUCCAAUCAUUGUGCUAAUAUCUAACAAAUGCAUGAUAAAAAGGAAUACUAAAAUAAAAUGUUAUCAUUAAAACAUAUAGCUAGUUCGGUUGCUGGUUCCUAAUUGCUCUCCACUCAUUAUACAUUUCCUGAGCCAUAUCAUUCCUCAUUGCAGUCCACUGGUCCGAUGUUUGAACACUACCAACAUAUUCACCUUCUUCUGUAUUUUGUCCAUCUUCUAUUAUUGGCAAAUUCUCCAUUGGAUCUACUGACAUCUCUUGCCUAAUAAGAUUGUGUAGUAGGCAACAAGCGGUAAUUAUUCGACCUUGUGUCCUUAUCGGAUAGAAAGAUGGACUCCUUAGUAUCGACCACCUUCCUUUUAGCAAGCCAAAACAGCGUUCAAUUACAUUCCUUGCCUUAGAAUGCUUCAUGUUAAAAUAUUCUUCCUUAUUAGAAGGUGUUCGUCCCUCCCAUUCAGAUAAAUGAUAAGGUAUUCCUCUAUAGGGUGCAAGGAAUCCUUCACCAUUUGUAUAACCACCAUCUACAAGGUAAUAACAACCUAAUGAAAAAAAAAACAGACCUUAUUAGUGUUUUGUAGUUGACACAAACAGAACUAAACCUAACUUACAAAGUUGAGACUAAGUAAUAGUCUUACCCGCUGGUACCUUAAAACCAUUAGGCCUACUAAUCGCAUCAUGUAGCACUCUAGAGUCUGAUGCGGAAACCCUCCCACCCCGGAAACACAUAUAUGAACUGCAUAUCUCCUGAACACACACCUAACACAUUAGUUGCGACUCGACCCUUUCUUGUUCGGUAUCUUGGUUUGUCAAUUUCAGGUACAUGCACAUCAAUGUGUGUUCCAUCCAAUGCUCCCAAGCAAUUCUUAAAAAACCAAAAAUAAUAAACUUUUUGUUAAUUUAUACAAAGGGAAUGAAGAGUUAAAGCUUAGGGAAAAUGAAAAAAAAUUUCUCAUCAUACCUUAAAACAUCGCCACCUAGCAUCUGUAGAAUCAAUAGGCACAGGCUGGGGGACUUUUAGUAGGGUACCUUGUAAUCGCAAAAUUCCUUGCAAUACGCUAUUGAAAUACCUACUUAUAGUCUCUCCCGACCUAUAAAAUCUACCGCCAACACUACGAUUCUUAGUAUGAUGUGCUAAUAUUUGUAAAGUCAUACACACCUGUUCCUCUACAGACACCAAACCAUCAGUUUUUACCCUCCAUCUUGACGAAGUAAGUCGCAUAAUAUGCCAAAAGUCAUUCUAUCCAUUCUCAAUUCGUUAACACAUUCAGUAUCAGUAUUCCCUAUUAUACCAUUCAGAUAACACAAACUAAUCUCUCGUCUAAUAAGUGAACGGUUAGUCAAUGUGGGUCGUUCAACAUGUCUCUGUUUGCCACGUAGCAUCAUCACCACAAGAAUCGUACAAAUACAAAUUGUCUCCAAAUAAGACAUCUCUAACAAUAAGAUCAAUAAAAGCUUCCUUCGAUCCAUAUCUAUCCAAAAAAAAAAAAAAACAAUAAAACAAAUUAACUAAAUCAUUAACCCGAGGCAACAAAUAUACAGGUGGCGUUGAAAAAAAAAAAGUUUUCAUUAACCCGAGGCAACAAAUAUACAGGUGGCGUUGAAAAAAAAGUUUUCAUUAACCUGAGGCAACAAAUAUACAGGUGGCGUUGAAAAAAAAAAAGUUUUCAUUAACCCGAGGCAUCAUAUUCAAAAUGUUCUACUCUUAUACAUCUAUAAACAUGUGUCUAAGAACACUAGUAUGAGGAUUGCUAUCAUUGCUAGGCAUUGCAUGUGAAAAGGGAAAUUAAAGGACACCUGUAAUGCAGUAGCCUUAGCCUUAGCCUUCCGUUUAUGCUCAUCUUCUCUGCAACCAACAACCACAACAAAUUGCAAUUCAGCAUCAACCCCACACAAUACAAAACAUUCACAUUGUAUACACACUGCAUACAUACACACUGCAAACACAGUACAUACAUACACACACUACAUACACUGCAUACACUACACACACACUACAUACACUACACACACACUGCAUACAUACACACUGCAACACACAUACAUACAUACAUACACCACACACAUACACUACACACACACACAUACACUACACACACACCCUGCAAGUACACACACAAUGCAUACAUACAUACACACACUGCAUACACCCUGCAUACAUACACACUGCAUACACAGUACACAAACACACACACUGUAUACACCUUGCACACACAGUACACAAACACACACACACUACAUACACUACACACACACCCUGCAAGUACACACACAGUGCAUACAUACAUACACACCCUGCAUACACCCUGCAUACAUACACACUGCAUACACAGUACACAAACACACACACUGCAUACACCUUGCACACACAGUACACACACACUGCACACACACACACUGCAUACACACUCAUUCACACACACACUGCACACACACACACUGCUUACACACUGCACACACACACACUGCACACACACUCACACUCACACUCACACUCACACUCACACUCACUACACAUACACUACACACACACACUGCAUACAUACACACUGCAAACACAGUACACUACACACACUACAUACACUGCAUACACUACACACAUACACACUUAUUCACACACACACUGCACACACACACUGCUUACACACUGCACACACACACACUGCACACACACUCACACUCACACUCACUCACACUCACUACAUACACUACACACACACACACUGCAUACAUACACACUGCAAACACAGUACACUACACACACUACAUACACUGCAUACACUACACACAUACACACUUAUUCACACACACACUGCACACACACACACUGCUUACACACACUGCACACACACACACACUGCACACACACUCACACUCACACUCACUCACACUCACUACAUACACUACACACACACACUGCAUACAUACACACUGCAAACACAGUACACUACACACACUACAUACACUUCAUACACUACACCCUGCAUACAUACACUACACACACACACUGCAUACAUACACACUGCAAACACAGUACACUACACACACACACUACACAUACACUACACACACACACUGCAUACACUACACACACACCCUGCAAGUACACACACACUGCAUACACCCUGCAUACAUACACACUGCAAACACAGUACAUACAUACACACACUACAUACACUGCAUACACUACACACACACUACAUACACUACACACACACACUGCAUACAUACACACUGCAAACACAGUACAUACAUACACACACUACAUACACUACACACACACACACACACACUACAUACACUACACACACACACUGCAUACACUACACACACACCCUGCAAUACACACACAGUGCAUACAUACAUACACACACUGCAUACACCCUGCAUACACCCUGCAUACAUACACACUGCAUACACAGUACACAAACACACACUGUAUACACCUUGCACACACAGUACACAAAUGACACCGUAAUCUUAUAUUAUUACAUACGAAUCGAAUAAAUUCAAGAUACAAGAUCUUUGGACCAAUUUUAUGAAUCAAUAUUCUGUUAAACGUCCUUGAUUCGGUAUCAAUUUCCUAAGACACAUAAAGCAGAAUAAUAGAGCAACAGAGUAAAACCAGAACUCAAACUAAUCAAUCGUGCCUCAAGAAGAUCUCCCUAUUUAGAUCAUAUCACCAGAUUCACCACAUCCAUUUCUACCAAAUAUCACGAUGCAGACUAUCAAUUCCAAACCAUUAACGUAAUCCGAAUGAAACACUCAAAACCAAGAGCGAUGCACACAUCUAAACAUAAAGUUGAUAAAAAUCUCAACAUUAAAGAACCAUUUCAACUAUAUUGGCAUAGAAGAAAAACAAAACGUCUGUGUGUGUGUAUACAUAUGCAACUCAACCACUAAAUUCCUCAUCGAAACUUUUGAUUCGUUUAUAAAAUUAAACAAACAACAAUUACCAAAAUCAAAUUAAUCCGAAUUCCAACUAAUAAACAACCUAAUCAAAUCAUACAUCGAUCAAGCAAACCAAUCAAAUCUCCACAAUUUCCAUCAAUAAUUUUCAAUCAAUGGAUUUGAUUAGAUCCAAUAAAUACCUAAACAGAUCCAACGAUGAUAUUGUUGAUGGGGAUGAAGAUCAGCUUGACGAAGAACCCGACGAAACCCAUCACGACGAACCCGAUCGCUGUCCGGAGCGCGACCUUGGAGAAUUCUACACGACAAUCAACCAUCAAAUCUCAUCAAUUACACAUGCAUAUCAAAGAAUAUAACUUGUGAGAAAACACAGAUCCGACCCGAAUGCUGAAUUACCUUUACGAUCGGGCUUGUGGCAGCGCUUGACGAGGCGAAUGCUGUCCUUGGAGAACUCUCGGAGCAGAUCUGUUACGUGAAGACGAGGGAGCGGACGACGAGAGGAACAGAUGAGGAGCAGGAUGCAGAUGAGGGCGACCAGGAUGCAGCUGACGGCGAGCAGGACGCAGAGAUGAGGAUGAGGAGGACGACGUGAGGGAGGAGGUCUUACGAAUCCGGACGUUUUUGGGGUGGUUCGCUAAGAACUGCUAGCGAAGGGUUUAAUCCGUGCGAGUCGGAUCUAAUCCCAUUAAACGUAAUCCUUGCCCCUACCAAACAUCAGACUACAAUACCAAUUAGUGUAGUCUAGUCCAGUCCCCCCUAAGAAGGUCAAACAAACACGCCUAUAAAGUCUAAAGCCUUGUACAUUCUUUCAUUUCCUUUUCAACUUCCCUCAGUUGGAAAAAUCACACAUGCCUUAAACUGUUCAGUUACUUUCUCCCCUUACUAUAUCACCAAGAAGAAGAUUGGUGACGGUUUUUUCUUAGAUGGUCUCUAUUACCUAUCCAAGGAGACUUCAUUUCUCAAGGGAUUUCAAGUCAAGUUUAACUUAAGUCAAGACCAAAACAUGUGGCAUCAAAGAUUAGCUCAUCCAUCCGAGCCCAUUUUGUCAAGAUCGUUUCCAAAUCUGUGUAAAGAAGUGAUCCAGUGUGAUUCUUGUCACUUUUGUAAAGCUAUUAGAUUACCCUUUGGUUCAUCCUCAAAUAAGACCAAACAAGUUUUUGAACUUGUACAUUUAGAUGUAUGGGGACCAUUUUUUGAAUCUUUUGAUGGGUAUAAGUAUUUUGUAACUUUCAUAGAUGAUUUCUCGAGAGUUACUUGGUUAUACCUUUUGAAAUCUAAGAGUGAAGUUGUUGAAGCAUUCAUAGAUUUUCAUAAUCUUGUCAAAAAUCAUUUCAAUUCCCAAAUCCAAACGUUGAGAUCUGAUAAUGGUUCGAAAUAUAUGUCACACAUCAUGAAACAAUUUUUAAGCAGUAAUGGAAUUUUGCAUCAAACCAGUUAUGUUGGUACUCCACAACAAAACGGCAUAGCCAAGAGAAAGAACCGUGAUCUACUUGAAAAAACAAGAGCUCUAAUGUUGCACAUGAAAGUACCAAAAAGAUUUUGGUCCCAAUGGGUCAUGACAAGUGCAUAUAUCAUAAACAGAUUACCAAGUUGAGUCUUGGAGUUCAAAUCUCCAAUGGAAGUGUUAAAAGGAAGGGAUGUUAAUCUGUCACAUCUUAAAGUCUUUGGGUGCACAUGCUAUGUUCAUAUUCAAUCUCAGCAUAGGGAUAAACUGGACCCUAGGGCUAACAAAUGCAUGUUUCUUGGUUACUUAUCUACUAAAAAAGGUUACAAGUGCCAUAGUCCUAUGUUAAAGAGAGUUGUAGUUUCAAGGGAUGUACAAUUUGAUGAAACUAAGUCAUUUUACAAUAAGCUGUAUGAUGAUCAGUCACAAAGGGAGUCAUGUUUUGAGUGUUUUUUUCCAUUACCAAGGGCUGAGGAACUAUCUUUCGAGAUACAACCUUUUAAUGCUCCUGCUUCAAUUGAUGAAACUCAAGGUAGCGAUCACAACCCUGAGCAACAGAUGCACAAUAAAGAAUCUCCUAUUGAAGAGCCAGAAAUCUCGACAGAAGAAACACAACAGGUCUAAGGUAAAAGAAAUCCAGUGCGUGCUAUACACCUUCCUACAAAGCUUCAAGAUUAUGUGACUUAUUUAGCCAGGCAUCCAAUAAGUGGUUGCAUGUCCUACCAGAAAGUUUCAAAAUCUUAUGCUAUCUAUUUGAACACCAUCACCAGUCACUGUGAGCCUCAAACCUUUCCAGAAGCAAGCUGCCAAGAAGUGUGGAGAAAUGCCAUGAAGGAAGAGCUUCAUGCUCUCACCAAUCACAACACCUGGAGUGUAGUUAGACUUCCUCUAGAAAAAAAAGGCAGUUGGUAGUAAGUGGAUCUACAAGAUCAAAUUCCACUCAAAUGGAUAGAUUGAAAGACACAAAGCUAGGUUGGUGGCUAGAGGAGUCACUCAAACAUAUGUCGUUGACUACAAGGAAACAUUCGCUCUAGUUGCCAAGAUGAACAUUGUGAGGGUGUUAUUGUCUGCUAUUAUGAAUAAAUGAUGGUCUCUAUACCAAAUGGAUGUGAAGAAUGCAUUCUUACAUGGCGACCUUGAAGAGGAGGUCUACAUGAAGCUACCAUCGGGACAUCCUCAAUACAAUGAGCCUGGCAUGGUGUGUAGGUUGUACAAAUCCAUUUAUGGAUUAAAACAAUCCUCAAGAGCCUGGUAUGCCAAGCUCAGUUCGGUUAUUGAAGAACCUGGUUUUCAAAGAAGUCAUGCAGACUCAUCCAUGUUUGUUCGAACAUGAGUGGUUGGCAAACUCGUAGUGUUGAUCUAUGAUGAUGACUUAAUAAUCACAGGGGACAUUGCUGAUGAAAUCACAAACCUCAAGGUCCCUCUACAACAGAAGUUCUCCAUCAAAGAUCUUGGAAGGUUAAAAUAUUUUUCUGGGGAUAGAAAUGGCCUCAUCAAGUAAAUGGCUAUUUCUUAACCAAAGGAAAUAUAUCCUCGAUCUUCUCACGGAAUCAAAUAUGAAUAAUGCCAAGCGAGUUCAAACUCAUCUCAACAGCAAGCUCAAGCUUAGCUUGGAAGGCAAACCUCUGCCUAAUAUUGGUUACUAUUAACGGCUCGUUGGUAAGUUAAUUUAUUUAACUAUCAUAAGACCAAAUAUUACAUAUGCAGUGAGCUUAGCUAGUCAAUUCAUGCAUGCAUCUACAAUAGAACACUUCAACCUCGUUAAGAGAAUACUUCGUUAUCUCAAAUGAUUGAUUGGAAGAGGAAUUCUCAUGAAAAAGAAUGAUAACACUCAAGUUAUUGGUUACUAUGAUGCUGACUGGGCAGGAAACCAAAUAUAUCGAAAGUCUACCACAUGUUAUUGCACGUUUGUAGGAGGAAAUCUGGUAACAUGGAAGAGUAAGAAGCAAAGUGUCAUUGCAAGAUCUAGUGCAGAAGCUAAGUAUAGAUUGAUGGCAUCCACAUCAUGUGAAUUAAUAUGGCUUAAAGGUCUUUUGAGUGAUUUGGGGUUCCAAACAAAGCAACCUAUGUCAAUGUAUUGUGAUAAUCAAGCUGCAAUGCACAUAGUAUCCAAUCCAGUGUUCCACGAAUGAACAAAACAUAUUGAGGUUGAUUGCCACUAUGUCCGUGCUCAUGUGCAAACUCAAGUGAUUUAAACUCUCUACACAAGGAAUGCUGAUCAGUUCGCUGACAUUUUCACCAAACCAUUACCUCCAAAUUAGUUUAAGCGUCUUCUAUCCAAGCUCGGUUCCAUCAACAUUCUGGACCUAACUUGAAGGGGAGUAUUGAAAGUCAAGAGUGGGUUUUUCGAACUAUUGGUUAGGUUGAUUAUUAGGGUGUAGUUGUCACCUUACUUCUAGUUAUAUCUUGUAAAGAUCUUGUAUCUCAUUUCCUAUAUUUCAAGGGUGGUUAUAUCUUUUUAGCUUUUUCCCUUACCUCACUUUAUGCUCCUUGUUUUAUGAAGCUGCUGUUUAGGAGUGAUUCAAGGGUGAUCAGUAUGUUGAUCACUCCUUGCUCUAUACAUCUUGUAUCCUUGUGUUGUUAGUUCCUCAUAAAUUAUAAUACAAACAAACACUUAAAACUCAACAUGGUAUCAGAGCCAAAGGACGGGCUCGUACUGCCAUGUGAUUAGGUGGGUCCUCUUUGGCCCCACACAAUGGGUGAGUCUCGACAUGGCUGGAUGUAAGCCAAAGAUGCCACGUGAUUGGGUGGGUCUCUGUUUGGCCCCGUGCGAUGGAUGAGCCCCGACUUGGCUCCACGUGGUUGCUGGUGUCUAGAUCUCCAAGUGUGACAAAAUGGGGUCUCAUGUGCGAAGGAGUGUUGAAACCCAUUUGUCCCACAUCGGACAGAGGGAAGGAGAAAGAGGCAUUUAAAUAGAAUUACCCCACUCUAACUAACACUAAGGCUUUUUGUUAUAAAACCCCACACCUGACAGAUUGGGCAUGUGGUAAAGUGUGGACAGUAUCGGUGUUGUUGGAGUGGGCCCUUGACCCGUCCACCUGAAAAAUUCUACAGAGAGGGUGAAGAUGGGUAAACCUAGAUAACCAAGGAGGAGAAAGAUGGUGGCAGCAAUGACAGAGGCGGGUCAUUGGUUGCCCUUGACCCUAACAACUUAAAAAAUCCAUGUAUAUAUGUUUGUGUUUUGUAUUUGACCCCUUUAAACAGCUAAGACUUACAACCUCCUCCUACUACUCAUUCUAUUUUCUCCUAUCAUAUUUAUCUUCUUUUCGUCUCUUAUUAUGUGUGAUUCUAUUUGACCCCUUUAAAUAGCUAAGACUUACAACUUCCUCCUCCUACUUAUUCUAUUUCUUCUAUCAUAUUUGUCUUCUUUUCCUCUCUUCUUGUGUGCAACUCUAUUGGGCUCACCAUGUGCUUAAUGAAAUACCUUAGUUGACAAGCCUGUGCAUUCUUCACCAUUACUCUACAAUAUCAUGCAUCUACCCUCGACAAACCUCUACAAAAAUGGUUGUUGACAUAUGUUGGCAUAAGCUUUCAACAUUUGUUGACAAAAAUUGACAUGUGCUUACUAGGUGCUUGACGAAAUAACCCCAACAAUGUUUUUUUGGUUGAUAUUAUGACCCUAUUAUUUGAAGAUUCUGGCUCUGUCACUAGGUGGUAGUGUGGGAGGUGGCGAUGGCAGCAGUGGUUGAGGUGCCAGUUGUGAUAGACAUAGUAAGAUAGCUUACAUGAUUUUUUUUUUAUUAUUAAAAGCUCUAACUUUAUGUUAUACGUACAUUAUGUUUUUAUUAUUUUAGACUAUGUUCUUGGGAAACAUAAAACAUCAAUUUGUUGUCACACUAAAAACUUAGGCUAAAUCUUGUAUUUUGUGUUUUUUGUUUCCCGAGUUUGAUUUUCACCAUCAUAUAAAAAUGUGAUAUCUGAGAUCACACUAGCCAUCCUGUGGCAAGCCUCACUCCACACUUCGAGGCAAUAUUUAGUCUCUACUCGUUCAAGAAUAGUGAGUUCUGGCAGCCAUUGGGGGCUGAGGCAACGCCUUCAACUCUAUAUUGCUGAGAAAAACUAAUCGAAGACUGCGAAUGCCCUCUCCAGGCUCCAUAUCAAAUUUCUUACAAGUAAACUAUCUAGGGUGGUUAAGAAAUUCAUAUUAUCUGGAAAGUUGUAAUAAUUGGUAUUGUUCAUCUUGCUCUUAUGAAAACACGUUUUUUUGAGAAACCUGGUUGAUCUAACGGUUACGAAUAGAGAGCCCAUUUAAAAGUUAUAAUAAAUGUAGUCGUUAGAUCAAAUUUCAACGGUACGCAUUACUAAGUCAUUAACGUUUUGCGCUUAUAAGGAGAGCUCAACAAUGACGUUUUUUUUAAUUAAGAGGUAUUGGCCUUAAUUGGAGAGAAAAAUUUGUUUGGAUUGACUUCAGUUGAGAAAAAUUGUUUCUGGCCUUUUGUUAACUUUAAAUAUGAAAUUAUUUAUUAAUGUAAAUCGAAAAGACCUAUACAAUAUGUUGUUUCCUCUCAACGAAAUUUAUUAGAAUAAGAUUUGUUAUUUACUUGGGGUAAAAACAUAUUACUUCGACUCGAUUUUUGUGGUAAAUGGCAUUGUUAUGGUUUUUUUUUCAACUCUCAAUGGUACGAAAGGAAUUUUAUUAAUAACAGAAAAGAAAGUUAAAAAAACAUUAUUAUGGUUGUCCAUAAUUAUUUUGCUGAUAUUGUACGCUUUACUAAGAACAAAUUAUGUAAUACAUUAUAAAUAUAUGUUGAACAGUUAGCCAAUAUAUUUACAUGGCAUUUAUUCCACCUACAAUUUUUAGGUCAUACUUCUAGCAUAUCACACAAACAAAGAAUCACAUUUAACCUUUGCUUAGUUUACUAUUUAACUAUAAUUAGUACUACAGAAGCUUUAAAUUGAGACACUGUUGGGAAUUCCCUUGCCAGUAAGUCCACCUCCACUAGUAGGAAACAGCAAAGUGUAAGGCACCUUCACAAGUCCAACGCGGUUUUUCAACUUCUCGUCAUUGUUCAUACUUAUAAUCCUCUCCUCAAUCUCCUCCAGUUUCUUUCCAAACUUGUUGAAUGCUUCCAAUGGCGCAGCAUCUGCUGUCCACUCGGGCGUGUCUCGCUUACCCAAGUACACUUCAUCAGUAGAAUGCCUUGACAAAAUUUCAAUGAGGGAAAUGCCAAGCAGUGUCUGCAGCUGAGCAGUGACUGUUUUCAAGAACACUUUGUCGGGGUUGGACUUGAGCUCUUCGUAUUCAGCAGUUCCCUUUACGGGCAUGAAUUUUCGGCUUAUAGUAGGGCGGUUGGGAAGGUAUCCGGCGUAAGGGUACUGUCCGAAGUUGACAGCUGCAUGGAGGGCAGAAGCAGUCCAUAUGAUAAUUGUGCAGAUUUCAACUAGCUCUUCGAAAGUCUGCAAUUUUGGCCACCAGGGCUCGUCUUUUUUGUCACCGUGGCCUUCCUCUACUAGCUCCUUCCACCAGGAUUGGAGCUCGGCGUCUUUCUGGAUUAUAUCAUCGGUCUUGUAGUAGAAAGAGCAGUAGUCUGCAACCCAUGUUCUUAUUGCAAACCAGAUUUCAAUCCCAUCGACAGCAUACGGGUAGUCCUCGAUCAGUAGGCAAAGACCGUGUGGAUAAUUUUUAUCCUUCACUACCACUCCUCUGUUUUGAUCAAAGCCAAGGCAACGUGAUUAGAACAAGAAAUGAAUAUUAUCACUAAGGUAAAUAAUUUCCGCUCCCCAUUUUCUACUUUUGCACACCACUAUUUAUUUAUGCACCUUGAUUCUCUCUUGAUUUAUUCAAUUCAAAGUCCGAAAGUAUAAAUUUUUUGUUUACCUUUUGAUGAGAUCGGCAGGGAGAGCUUGCUCAUUGAAAUUCCAAUCCUUGUACACAACUGAUGACAUCUCCAUGGCAUACCUAGCUGGGAAAACUGUCGUCUCAAGAAUACCGCCAGCAUUGAUGAGGAUUUGCCUCGCAAAUGCAUUGAUGUUCAUCGUGUCACGGAAGUGAGGAUGCAGAAGUUUGUAAAUCGGGUGAACCACGCUUAGUUGCCUGUUUGUGGCAAUUACAACUGGCUCACUCACUGCAUGAGUGUUCAACCAGUGGCUGAUGAGUUGAUGGACUCCGGAGUCAUUGACAGCCACAUAAGCUUUAGCCAGUUGCCAUAUGGAACCUUCCACACCUUGUUCAGCUGGUGUGUAGACAUUACUAAUGCAACCAAAUUGAUCUCCUUCGGGAUGAGGCAAGCUCAACUCGAUCACCAAUGGUUUCAAAGUUCCAUCAUUUUGCAAGAACAACAGAGUUCUGCUACCGUAGAUCUUGUUCGAAGUUGAGUUUAUCCGCCUCAGGUACGGCAUCAGUGAAUCAUGAUGGUCUAGUAUGAAUAACUUGUUUUUCUUGAGUGCCUGUUCAACCAAAUUCAUUUUCACCAUUACAAUUUGAUACAGAACCAACAUAAUCUAAUUGCAAAGUAACAGCAUAUUGUAAGUUUUUUUUUUCUUUCAACGAAACGAAUAAAAUAUUUUACCUCAUCCACUGUUAGUCCAUCCAAGUUGUUCUUUAUAUGUUCUUUGGUUAUUGUACUGUUUUGAUCACCGUAAACUUUUGGAUCUAGCUUGCUUGCUGGCGGAAAUUCCUGCAAUUCAAUAAGAUGCAUGAUUAGAGAUGAAGCGAAAAAUAACAUUUAGAAAGUUUUGUUGGUCUCUUGUGUCCAUUUAUUUCAUUAUCAUUGCAGAAAAUCCACGAAAGGUUAUGCGAAGAUUACUUGGAGACGAGCAAUGUUGACAGGGUUUACUCCAGCCAGCAUUUCCCUCGCAAAUUCUUCAUCGGUCCUCCAAGCAGAUUUAUCCUCUUUACCCAAUCAAAAUAUCACAGUCAGAACUUAGACGAAAGAAAAUAGUGCAUUAUUUCGUAGGCUAUUGCUUGUGUUGUAAGGCUCUAAAUUCAAAAUGUUUUCGUUACCUUUGAUCACUUGAGGCUUUGGGAAUUUGAGCAAUUGUGCACCAUCAGUUCGGAAAAUUUCCUUCAGCAUCUCCGCAGGGAUCUUGUCUCCAAUAUCCUUCAAUAAACCUUCAGGCAACGGAAUGCCUCCUUCGUAGAGCUUAAGCACAUCUUCAAAGCUGUCAAACUCGCUAGGAGUUUGGUCGAACAAGGAUUCUAGCUCCGGUGUAAUGAACUGAGCUGUGGAUUUCAGGGCAUAAACAAGGAAGUCUGACAGCUUCAAGUGUCCAAAUCUUUCAUCCCUUGGAACGUAGAUGUUUAAGCUCUGAAUAAGCGGCAGAUUACUCUCGCUGUUAGGAUCUGUCAAUAAGAUCAGAAAAAUCUUAGUGAUCAUAACAUCAUCAGUUCAUUAAAUUCCAUAUUAGUAUAUCAAGUUUACACUUUUUAAUAAACAUUAACUCUAAAGAUACCGAAAACUAGAUUAACUUUGGAUUCUCAUUAGUAACUCUAAAAAAAUAGAGAAAAUAUUGCAGAUCGCUAACCUGUCCUAGUUGGUGGUCGGCCAGUUCUUCCACGACGAGGGUAAGGGUACUCACUAGACCCUCCGAGAACAGGACGGACGUAUUUGGCACCUUCAUCAGGUUUCCCCAAAUCAUUGUAGUAAGCAUAGUCAUAAACCCUGUCCCAUUCUUGGAGCUCUCCUUUUCCAUUACCCCUCAAGUGUACUAGCUCCUCUUCUCUGUAUUUUCGCAACGGCAAUGGUGUCUCACUUGGAAGAUAAGUCUGCACAAACAUAUAGCAGGCAUGAACUUUAGUCUUUAGCUUAGGAUACCAUAUAUUCUCAAUCUCUCCAAAAAAAAAAAAAAAAAAAAAUUAAAGCAGGUACUGAUGAUACGUGCAAAUCAUUCGUUACCUUGUUGACGAAGAAAACACGGUCUGUGGUGUAUUUUUCAGUAGGGUACACCCAAGAGUUGCAAACGAUGUGUACACGGCCCUCACCGGGAACAUUUUCGAGUGUGACGGUCUUGAGGAAGAACUCACUGUGGUGGUUGUUUUUGAUUAAGAAUGCUCCUGGAACUCCUACUUCCUCUUCAUAGUCAAAUGUAACCUUGAAUGCAGACUCUCCUGUUGUUAAAG
Molecule: long non-coding RNA, 30296 nt
Filed under: Malus domestica (apple)
Lineage: Eukaryota; Viridiplantae; Streptophyta; Magnoliopsida; Rosales; Rosaceae
Description: long non-coding RNA (MDOM_LNC004122)
Source: RNAcentral